This 533-nucleotide ribosomal RNA is filed under the name uncultured Paracoccaceae bacterium. Its description in RNAcentral is "bacterial SSU rRNA". It matches the Rfam family "Bacterial small subunit ribosomal RNA", at positions 355 to 907 of the family's 1533-position model. The record is from RNAcentral. Lineage: Bacteria; Pseudomonadati; Pseudomonadota; Alphaproteobacteria; Rhodobacterales; Paracoccaceae.
UGGGGAAUCUUGGACAAUGGGCGCAAGCCUGAUCCAGCCAUGCCGCGUGUGUGAUGAAGGCCUUAGGGUCGUAAAGCACUUUCGCCAGGGAUGAUAAUGACAGUACCUGGUAAAGAAACCCCGGCUAACUCCGUGCCAGCAGCCGCGGUAAUACGGAGGGGGUUAGCGUUGUUCGGAAUUACUGGGCGUAAAGCGCACGUAGGCGGAUUAGUCAGUCAGAGGUGAAAUCCCAGGGCUCAACCCUGGAACUGCCUUUGAUACUGCUAGUCUUGAGUUCGAGAGAGGUGAGUGGAAUUCCGAGUGUAGAGGUGAAAUUCGUAGAUAUUCGGAGGAACACCAGUGGCGAAGGCGGCUCACUGGCUCGAUACUGACGCUGAGGUGCGAAAGUGUGGGGAGCAAACAGGAUUAGAUACCCUGGUAGUCCACACCGUAAACGAUGAAUGCCAGUCGUCGGGCAGUAUACUGUUCGGUGACACACCUAACGGAUUAAGCAUUCCGCCUGGGGAGUACGGUCGCAAGAUUAAACUCAAAUG